GACGAACGCUGGCGGCGUGCUUAACACAUGCAAGUCGAACGGAAAGGCCCUGCUUUUGUGCGGUUCUCGGUUGGCGAACGGGUGAGUAACACGUGUGUAACCUGCCCUUCACUUUCGGAUAACUUCAGGAAACUGGGGCUAAUACCGGAUAGGAUCUCCCGCUGCAUGGUGGGCGUUGGAAAGUCUCGGCUGUUGGGGCUGGACUCGCGGCUGAUGGGCUUGUUGGUUGGGUAGUGGCUUACCCAGGCAUUGACGGGUAGCCGGCAUGGGAGGGUGACCGGCCACCAUGCGCCUGAGGUACGGCCCAGAGUGGUACGGGAGGCAGCAGUGGGGAACAUUGCACAACGAGAGGAAGCCUGAUGAAGAAGCUCCGCGUGCGGAAUGACGGUCUGUGGGUUGUGAACCGCUUUCGGCUGUGACCAAGCGGUUGUGACGGUAAUGGGUAAAGAAGCACCGGCUAACUACGUG
This 468-nucleotide ribosomal RNA is filed under the name uncultured bacterium. RNAcentral describes it as "partial 16S ribosomal RNA". It matches the Rfam family "Bacterial small subunit ribosomal RNA", at positions 28 to 507 of the family's 1533-position model. The record is from RNAcentral.